AUUCUAAAAUCACAAUAUUUUCUAAUUCUAUUCUAUUUUUAAUUAUUUUAUUAAAUUAAAUUUAAAUUAAUAUCUAAUUUAUAAAAAUAUUUUUAUUCUUAAUAAAUUUAUUAUUUUAAAUUAUAUUAAAAUUUAAUCAUUAUUAUAAAUAUACCUUUUUAUUCCAUUAAUUUGGUGCGGUAGAUAAAAAAAAAUAUGAG
RNAcentral lists this long non-coding RNA (200 nucleotides) under Ananas comosus (pineapple). Its description in RNAcentral is "long non-coding RNA (ACOM_LNC037801)". The record is from RNAcentral. Lineage: Eukaryota; Viridiplantae; Streptophyta; Magnoliopsida; Poales; Bromeliaceae.